Danio aesculapii is the source of this 246-nucleotide long non-coding RNA. RefSeq lists it as uncharacterized. The record is from RefSeq and is a predicted model, not a curated record. The transcript has 3 exons. Lineage: Eukaryota; Metazoa; Chordata; Actinopteri; Cypriniformes; Danionidae.
GAGGGCCAGAUUGAAACGGUCCGAUGCACUUCACUUGCAAUGCAGAUCAUCAUUUCUGGACAGCUUUCUACUUACUGCUGUGGACAUGAAAGGAUCGUCCUAGGCUUGCCCAUGCUGAUGGGCUGCACCACAGCAGUACUGGAGCUGAAUUCCUGUUGGACAACAUCUUCAGGAUGCUUUGACUAGGACACCUCCAAUGUGAAGCAGUGGACAGCUAAAGAUGUUGCUGGCUGUUAUUGCUAGACA